Molecule: ribosomal RNA, 256 nt
Filed under: uncultured bacterium
Lineage: Bacteria
Description: partial 16S ribosomal RNA
Rfam family: Bacterial small subunit ribosomal RNA
Source: RNAcentral
UGUACCUACGGGAGGCAGCAGUGGGGAAUAUUGGGCAAUGGGCGCAAGCCUGACCCAGCAACGCCGCGUGAAGGAAGAAGGCUUUCGGGUUGUAAACUUCUUUUAUGAGGGACGAAACAAGUGACGGUACCUCAUGAAUAAGCCACGGCUAACUACGUGCCAGCAGCCGCGGUAAUACGUAGGUGGCAAGCGUUAUCCGGAUUUACUGGGUGUAAAGGGCGUGUAGGCGGGACUGCAAGUCAGAUGUGAAAAUUAU